CUGGACAGUGCCAUGAUGUGAAUACUGUUGAUACUGAUGAUGUGGAUACUGUUCAUACUGAUGAUAUAAUGCUGAUAAUGUGGAUAUUGAUGAUGUAGAUGCCCCGGAUGAUCAACCAGGGACUAAUAGAGCUGGACAGUGCCAUGAUGUGAAUACUGAUGAUACUGAUGAUGUGGAUACUGAUGAUGUGGAUGAUGAUGAUGUGGAUGAUGAUGAUGAUGAUGUGGAUGCCUCCGUUGAUCAACCAGGGACUGAAAUAGCUGGACAGUGCCAUGAUGUGAAUACUGAUGAUACUGAUGAUGUGGAUGCUGAUGAUGUGGAUGCUGAUGAUGUGGAUGCCUCCGUUGAUCAACCAGGGACUGAAAUAGCUGGACAGUGCCAUGAUGUGAAUACUGUUGAUGCUGAUGAUGUGGAUACUGAUGAUGUGGAUGCUGAUGAUGUGGAUGAUGAUAAUGUUGAUGCCUCCGUUGAUCAACUAGGGACUGAAAUAGGUCAACUCGAAGCAGUCGUAAAUGCUGGGAUUGGCACAAAGAUGUAAGAUGUAA
This is a long non-coding RNA of Mya arenaria, 545 nucleotides long. RefSeq lists it as uncharacterized. The transcript has 5 exons. The record is from RefSeq and is a predicted model, not a curated record. Lineage: Eukaryota; Metazoa; Mollusca; Bivalvia; Myida; Myidae.